GGUAUGGGUUAUGAGUUGGGUAAAUACUCGUGAGAUCAUCGGCUUUGGUGUUCAAGUACACAGACAGAGACCGAGAGAGCGAAGAAUGGAGAGGAGCAAUCAAAGAGAAAGUUGAUUGUUGCUGUGCUUAUUGUGUAAUUUUUCUCAGGUCAUGAAAUGACGAGGAUCAUAUGAGGAGCAAUCAAAGAGAAACUUAUUUUCCCCUAUGUGGAUUUGAUUAUGAUUUAUGGAUUGAGAACCGUGAUGCUAUACAUGAUGAAGCCACUGUUUGAUUUAAAGUGUAUUGAUUGCACUUUCUUGAAAAGAAAGGAAAAUGGCGUGUUUAAGUGUUUAGUUUAGAGCAGGCCUUCAAUUUGAACCAGUUUCUCACAAGACCACCUCGAAAUGCUUUGAGGAGACUUACAUCUUACAACCUGGAAUAUGGGCUUUCGAACAUCAAGCCUGAGGGGGAGGAUGAGUGCAGUAUCGAAACAAAUUGUCUGAGGCUUUUUUGGGUGAUACUUGAUUUGUAUGAGAUGGUUAUGGUUCAGUGGCUUGGUUGUCUACCUUGAUUGCCUUUCUCACAGCCAGAAAGAGAGGAAUACCUUGGGUGGAAGGGUUGCCAACAUAAGUGCAGGAAGAAUUGCUGGAUAACAGUCUCCAGGAAGAUCUGACAUGGAGGCCAUCUACUUUGAUGAAGGUGUAAGGAACUCAAGACGACACCAAUUGAAAACUAGAGCAUUGGUGGAACUGGCAAGAAAAUACUUCAAGGGAUGAAUUGUCUUUAGAUUUGAAAGUAUGGUUAUGUUGACAACUGUUUAAAUCUUAAAAUGCGGGAAAGAAGAUAUACUGGUGACAUUGUGGGGGGAUAUUUCAUGCACUCUCAAUAUUGAGGCUAUCAGGACAACACCGCCACUGCACUCGCAGUUUUCACAAGCCUCAAAUUGAAACAAUAUCAAACACCAGCCUCUAUGCACAGCUAUAUAUUGAAGGCUUCUGUCACGGAAAGAUGUCAAAAAAAGGAGCAAUUAGGCUUUCAAAUAUAUUUCUGCUAACCUGAUUAGUCAUUAGAGAUGCCAGUUUCAAGAAUAAGUCUGAAACAAAUUCGGUGAUUGAGCUCUAUUUUCAAGUUAAGUGGGAAUUGGUGAUUGAGUCCACCAGAUUCAUUGAUAGAGAUUUUAGAGGAAAUUGUAGAGGAACCACUUCAGUUAGCAAAGAUGAUUUAUUGAGGCUGAAAGUAUUACUUAUAUAUAUAUUGACUAGCUAAAAAAUUUGGAUUUCGUAAUAUAUAUUCUGAUGUAUGUCUUACCAUUUUGUAAAUAUUCUUCCUUCAAAAAAGAAUAACUGUAUGCAUAUACCCUUAGCUCUGUGCCAUACAUUAGUUUUGUACAUGCAUUUUGUUAUCAUUAUUACCACUUUACCAGUCUCUUGAUCUUGACAAAUGAAUGCAUUCAGUUUAUUGCCAUGCUUAAACUGGAUGAAUGAACUCAUCAACAAACCUUGCAUACAAAAUUGUUAACAAAAAUCCUGCAGCAAUGCACGGGUAUCAUUUCUAGUUUCAUAUACGAUUUGCCAUCUUGAAUUGUGGGUUUGAUGUAGCAUUUCGAAUUUUGAUCGCAAGUCGCUGGGAUAGGAAGAAGAAGAAGAAGAGACGUCCAAGAUUUUGGUCGACUUUUGGAGCAAAGUUUGGGUUUGUUUCGGAAAAGGUUGCUGCUAGAAUUUUGAUCGAGUGUGGGAGGAAGCUUUCAAUAGCCGUGUUCUUCGGGAAGCAUCUGUUUACACCGACCUCCACUGUUACACCCAAGUACCCAAAUUGUUGAUCUCAAUCGUGACACUGCCAAUUCUUCGGUGUCGUCUACAGCCGUGUGAGAUGGUUGGAUUCUAUUCAGUCUUGAGCAUCAGAGCACGAAUCAUCUAUUCCAUAAAAGCUUAAUUGUUCUGUGUUAUUAGAACCAGUGAGGCUAGAGAUGUCAUGCUUAGGAAGACAAAGGGUGGUGGAUCAGCAUUUUGAUCCAUUUGAUAAUCCUUCAGAUUGCGAGUGGGUGUGCUCAAGCUCAAUGGUCUGCUGUAGGAAAUCAAAUUGUCAAGAAAAAUUGUUUUUGUAGCCUGAAGUAUAUUGUGGUGGUAUUAGGAAGACUGAGGUGAAGAUUGCGGAUUCUGCAGAUAUUGUACCAAAUUCACUGUUCACUGCAGGUUCUCUAGCUUGACGUCAAAUGCAUCUGUAUGCUGAGAGUUGGAAUGUUUUUGCAAGGUCUGAUGGCUGAAUUUGUUGGUUGUUAGAAAUCAGAACAAGCUUCAGAUCUGAAUGUUGGUGACCCAUCUACUGUGGAGGUGGCUACGAGUUGACCGUAGUACGAGUGGUAAGGGUGGAGUGGAGAAACUUGGCCAAUGCUGCCUUGAAGAUAUCCGAGAUUACAAGCAUGGUGGAAAAGACCACUGAAGUUAGGAGAAUGAAGGAGGAAUUGCAAAGAUACACUUUAAUUCAGUUUAGAAAAACCAAGCCCCCCCGCAGCAUCGCGCGGGAAGGAUUUUCUAGGAUAACUGAUAGUGAAAAACAAAUGCAAAGUAUUUGACUUCCUUGAAGAGAAAUUAGAUUACAGUGUAGUACAGUAACUAGUAAUUAAUUACUGCGUUCAGAAUAAAAAAGAAAUCUACAGAGA
Rosa chinensis is the source of this 2639-nucleotide long non-coding RNA. RefSeq lists it as uncharacterized. The transcript has 17 exons. The record is from RefSeq and is a predicted model, not a curated record. NCBI's taxonomy places the organism in Eukaryota, Viridiplantae, Streptophyta, Magnoliopsida, Rosales, Rosaceae.